Molecule: ribosomal RNA, 494 nt
Filed under: uncultured bacterium
Lineage: Bacteria
Description: partial 16S ribosomal RNA
Rfam family: Bacterial small subunit ribosomal RNA
Source: RNAcentral
GACGAACGCUGGCGGCGUGCUUAACACAUGCAAGUCGAACGGUGAAGCGCCUUCCUUUUUGGUGGGUGUGGAUGAGUGGCGAACGGGUGAGUAACACGUGAGUAACCUGCCCCCUUCUUCUGGAUAACCGCAUGAAAGUGUGGCUAAUACGGGAUAUUCUGGGUCUGUCGCAUGAUGGGUCUGGGAAAGAUAUUGUUUCGGUGGGGGAUGGGCUCGCGGCCUAUCAGCUUGUUGGUGGGGUGAUGGCCUACCAAGGCGGUGACGGGUAGCCGGCCUGAGAGGGUGGACGGUCACACUGGGACUGAGACACGGCCCAGACUCCUACGGGAGGCAGCAGUGGGGAAUAUUGCACAAUGGGCGCAAGCAUGAUGCAGCGACGCCGCGUGAGGGAUGGAGGCCUUCGGGUUGUGAACCUCUUUAGCCAGUGAAGCAGGCCUGCCUCGUUUGUGGGUGGGUUGACGGUAGCUGGAUAAGAAGCGCCGGCUAACUACGUG